This 253-nucleotide ribosomal RNA is filed under the name uncultured bacterium. RNAcentral's name for it is "partial 16S ribosomal RNA". It matches the Rfam family "Bacterial small subunit ribosomal RNA", at positions 524 to 776 of the family's 1533-position model. The record is from RNAcentral.
UACGAAGGGGGCUAGCGUUGCUCGGAAUCACUGGGCGUAAAGCGCACGUAGGCGGUUUGCUAAGUCAAGGGUGAAAUCCUGGAGCUCAACUCCAGAACUGCCUUUGAUACUGGCGAUCUCGAGUCCGGGAGAGGUGAGUGGAACUGCGAGUGUAGAGGUGAAAUUCGUAGAUAUUCGCAAGAACACCAGUGGCGAAGGCGGCUCACUGGCCCGGUACUGACGCUGAGGUGCGAAAGCGUGGGGAGCAAACAGG